GACGAACGCUGGCGGCGUGCUUAACACAUGCAAGUCGAACGGAAAGGCCCUGCUUUUGUGGGGUGCUCGAGUGGCGAACGGGUGAGUAACACGUGAGUAACCUGCCCUUGACUUUGGGAUAACUUCAGGAAACUGGGGCUAAUACCGGAUAGGAGCCCCUGCUGCAUGGUGGGGGUUGGAAAGUUUCGGCGGUUGGGGAUGGACUCGCGGCUUAUCAGCUUGUUGGUGGGGUAGUGGCUUACCAAGGCUUUGACGGGUAGCCGGCCUGGGAGGGUGACCGGCCACAUUGGGACUGGAAUACGGCCCAGACUCCUACGGGAGGCAGCAGUGGGGAAUAUUGCACAAUGGGCGGAAGCCUGAUGAAGCAACGCCGCGUGCGGGAUGACGGCCUUCGGGUUGUAAACCGUUUUCGCCUGUGACGAAGCGUGAGUGACGGUAAUGGGUAAAGAAGCACCGGCUAACUACGUG
Molecule: ribosomal RNA, 468 nt
Filed under: uncultured bacterium
Lineage: Bacteria
Description: partial 16S ribosomal RNA
Rfam family: Bacterial small subunit ribosomal RNA
Source: RNAcentral